AGUUCGAUCAUGGCUCAGAUUGAACGCCGGCGGGAUGUUUACACAUGCAAGUCGAACGGCAGCACGGACUUCGGUCUGGUGGCGAGCGGCGAACGGGUGAGUAAUGUAUCGGAACGUGCCUAGUAGCGGGGGAUAACUUACGCGAAAGCGUAGCUAAUACCGCAUACGCCCUUCGGGGGAAAGCGGGGACCUUCGGGCCUCGCACUAUUAGAGCGGCUGAUAUCGGAUUAGCUAGUUGGUGGGGUAACGGCUCACCAAGGCGACGAUCCGUAGCUGGUUUUGAGGAGGACGACCAGCCACAUUCGGACUGGAGAUGGCCCAGACUCCUACGGGAGGCAGCAGUGGGAAUUUUGGACAAUGGGGGAAUCCUGAUCCAGCCAUCCCGCGUGUGCGAUGAAGGCCUUCGGGUUGUAAAGCACUUUUGGCAGUGAAAGAAACGGCACGGGAUAAUACCCCAGUAACUGACGGUACCUGCAGAAUAAGCACCGGCUAACUACGUGCCAGCAGCCGCGGUAAUACGUAGGGUGCAAGCGUUAAUCGGAAUUACUGGGCGUAGGCAAAGUGCAGGCGGUUCGAAAUAGAAAUCCCAGAGCUUAACUUGGAACUGCAUUUUUAACUACCGAGCUAGAGUGUCAGAGGAGGUGGAAUUCCGCGUGUGUAGCAGUGAAAUGCGUAGAUAUGCGGAGGAACACCGAUGGCGAAGGCAGCCUCUGGGACAACACUGACGCUCAUGCACGAAAGCGUGGGAGCAAACAGAUUAGAUACCCUGGUAGUCCACGCCCCAAACGAUGUCAACUAGCUAUAGCCUGGCCCAGAAGCAGCUAACGCGUGAAGUUGACCGCCUGGGGAGUACGGUCGCAAGAUUAAACUCAAAGGAAUUGACGGGGACCCGCACAAGCGGUGGAUGAUGUGGACUAAUCUGAUGCAACGCGAAAAAACCUUACCUACUCCUUGACAUGUCUGGAAUCCCGAAGAGAUUUGGGAGUGCUCGCAAGAGAACCGGAACACAGGUGCCGUACGCGGCUGUCGUCAGCUCGUGUCGGGAGAUGGGUUAAGUCCCGCAACGAGCGCAAAGUAACCCUUGUCAUUAUUAUACGAAAGGGCACUCUAUCGGGACUGCCGGUGACAAACCGAGGAAGGUGGGGACGACGUCAAGUCCUUCAUGGCCCUUAUGGGUAGGGCU
This 1183-nucleotide unclassified non-coding RNA is filed under the name uncultured Bordetella sp. RNAcentral describes it as "partial 16S-23S ribosomal RNA intergenic spacer". It matches the Rfam family "Bacterial small subunit ribosomal RNA", at positions 10 to 1215 of the family's 1533-position model. The record is from RNAcentral. Lineage: Bacteria; Pseudomonadati; Pseudomonadota; Betaproteobacteria; Burkholderiales; Alcaligenaceae.